GGACCAAUAGCUCAGUUGGUUAGAGCACUGUGUUGAUAACGCAGGGGUCGUAAGUUCGAGUCUUACUUGGUCCACCA
RNAcentral lists this transfer RNA (77 nucleotides) under Pseudomonas fluorescens. RNAcentral's name for it is "tRNA-Ile". It matches the Rfam family "tRNA". Rfam says of the family: Transfer RNA (tRNA) molecules are approximately 80 nucleotides in length. Their secondary structure includes four short double-helical elements and three loops (D, anti-codon, and T loops). Further hydrogen bonds mediate the characteristic L-shaped molecular structure. tRNAs have two regions of fundamental functional importance: the anti-codon, which is responsible for specific mRNA codon recognition, and the 3' end, to which the tRNAs corresponding amino acid is attached (by aminoacyl-tRNA synthetases). tRNAs cope with the degeneracy of the genetic code in two manners: having more than one tRNA (with a specific anti-codon) for a particular amino acid; and 'wobble' base-pairing, i.e. permitting non-standard base-pairing at the 3rd anti-codon position. RNAcentral also lists the same sequence under 1 other name. Lineage: Bacteria; Pseudomonadati; Pseudomonadota; Gammaproteobacteria; Pseudomonadales; Pseudomonadaceae. The record is from RNAcentral.